GCGAAGCUGAUGCAAAGGUUGGUCCUUUUGGCCGCCCUCCUCCUCCUCGUCGCGGCAGCUGGCCUCACCCCCGCCGCCGCCGCGGCGGACGGAGGAGCUGGAGGGGACCUUCCACUGGGCUGGAUCCCGUCCCUCUCCGGCUGCCGCGGCAGCAUCGCGGAGUGUCUCGCGGGCGAGGAGUUUGACCUGGGAUCCGAGGUGAGCCGCCGCUUCCUGGCCACCUCCAGCUACAUCAGCUACGGCGCACUCAAGAGCGACACCGUGCCCUGCUCCCGCCGCGGCGCCUCUUACUACAACUGCCGCCCCGGCGCCCAGGCCAACCCCUACUCUCGCAGCUGCUCCGCCAUCACCC
This 352-nucleotide long non-coding RNA is filed under the name Musa acuminata (dwarf banana). Its description in RNAcentral is "long non-coding RNA (MACU_LNC001517)". Lineage: Eukaryota; Viridiplantae; Streptophyta; Magnoliopsida; Zingiberales; Musaceae. The record is from RNAcentral.